GUUGUGGCUCAGGGGUAGAGCGCUCGCCUAGCAUGUGCGAGGCCCUGGGUUUGAUCCUCAGCACCACA
This 68-nucleotide transfer RNA is filed under the name Marmota monax (woodchuck). RNAcentral describes it as "tRNA.Ala". The record is from RNAcentral. Lineage: Eukaryota; Metazoa; Chordata; Mammalia; Rodentia; Sciuridae.